GCGUUAUCCGGAAUCAUUGGGUUUAAAGGGUCCGUAGGCGGUUUAGUAAGUCAGUGGUGAAAGCCCAUCGCUCAACGGUGGAACGGCCAUUGAUACUGCUAGACUUGAAUUAUUAGGAAGUAACUAGAAUAUGUAGUGUAGCGGUGAAAUGCUUAGAGAUUACAUGGAAUACCAAUUGCGAAGGCAGGUUACUACUAAUGGAUUGACGCUGAUGGACGAAAGCGUGGGUAGCGAACAGGAUUAGAUACCCUGGUAGUCCACGCCGUAAACGAUGGAUACUAGCUGUUGGGAGCGAUCUCAGUGGCUAAGCGAAAGUGAUAAGUAUCCCACCUGGGGAGUACGUUCGUAAGAAUGAAACUCAAAGGAAUUGACG
This 373-nucleotide ribosomal RNA is filed under the name uncultured Flavobacterium sp. RNAcentral describes it as "bacterial SSU rRNA". It matches the Rfam family "Bacterial small subunit ribosomal RNA", at positions 538 to 915 of the family's 1533-position model. Lineage: Bacteria; Pseudomonadati; Bacteroidota; Flavobacteriia; Flavobacteriales; Flavobacteriaceae. The record is from RNAcentral.